GACGAACGCUGGCGGCGUGCUUAACACAUGCAAGUCGAACUGAAAGGCCCUUCUUUUGUGGGGUGCUCUUUUGUCGAACGUGUUUGUAACACUUGAGUAACCUUCCCUUGACUUUGGUUUAACUUCAUGAAACUGUUUCUAAUACCGGAUAGGCGCUCCUGCUGCAUGGUGGGGGUUGUAAAGUUUCGUCGGUUGUGGAUGUACUCGCUGCUUAUCAGCUUGUUUGUGGGGUAGUGGCUUACCAAGGUUUUGACGGGUAUCCGACAUGAGAGGUUGACCGGCAACAAAGGGAAUGAGAUAAGGACCAGAGUAGUACGGGAGGCAGAAGUGGGGAAUAUUGCAAAAUGGGAGGAAGCGUGAGGCAGCAACGGCGCGAGCGGGAUGAAGGCCUACGGGUUGUAAAACGAUUUCGCCUGUGACGAAGCGUGAGUGACGGUAAUGGGUAAAGAAGCACCGGCUAACUACGUG
Molecule: ribosomal RNA, 468 nt
Filed under: uncultured bacterium
Lineage: Bacteria
Description: partial 16S ribosomal RNA
Rfam family: Bacterial small subunit ribosomal RNA
Source: RNAcentral